This 454-nucleotide ribosomal RNA is filed under the name uncultured microorganism. Its description in RNAcentral is "bacterial SSU rRNA". It matches the Rfam family "Archaeal small subunit ribosomal RNA", at positions 330 to 745 of the family's 1478-position model. The record is from RNAcentral.
GCGCAGCAGUCGAGAAUACUCCGCAAUGCCCGAAAGGGUGACGGGGGAUCCCAAGUGCCUACGCUUAGCGUAGGCUGUUCAGGUGCCUAAAAAGCACCUGGAGGAAGGGCUGGGUAAGACGGGUGCCAGCCGCCGCGGUAAUACCCGCAGCCCGAGUGGUAGUCGCUUUUAUUGGGCCUAAAGCGUCCGUAGCCGGUCUGGUAAAUGCCUGGGUAAAUCGUGGGGCUUAACCUCACGAAUUCCGGGUAGACUGCCAGACUUGGGACCGGUUGAGGGAGAGGGUACUCCAGGGGUAGGGGUGAAAUCAGCAAGGUAAGCUGAUGUAACUUGCCUUGCAAGUCACAAUCCUGUAAUCCUUGGAGGACCACCGGUGGCGAAAAGCGCUCUCCUAGGACGGGUCCGACGUGAGGGACGAAAGCCAGGGGAGCAAAACCGGAUUAGAUACCCCGGUAGU